This 1915-nucleotide long non-coding RNA is filed under the name Salmo trutta (river trout). RNAcentral describes it as "lncRNA (ENSSTUG00000040643.1)". The record is from RNAcentral. Lineage: Eukaryota; Metazoa; Chordata; Actinopteri; Salmoniformes; Salmonidae.
CAUGGUAUGACAUGUUUUAUAUUUGUAGAUGAAAUUCAACACAAGAUAUGUUGAAGGUGCUGGACUGGGAAAUGGGAAGCAGAUGGAGAUGCUGUGGUCGUAUCUGAGGCACUUUGGGAAGGUCACUAGAUGACGCCGUCCCAUCGUAUUGACCUCCUGACUGAUGCCCUUCACCAUGAGAAAAGAUGUGCCAGAGGCAACUGGACGACAGUUGCAACAGAAGCAGAAUGGAAAAUGGCAGAAAUUGCAGUCUCUAACAGGUAAACCAUUGCAUCAAUUCUCUAAGAAUAGAAUUUCAGUAUUGAUUAGAAUUUGUCACAUCUGUCAAUUAUGUUUUAGGAACAACACUGGACACCAUUCGGGAUUGUGGCAGGAAUGUUAGUGUCACCCUUGAGAAGCAAAAACCUGCUCUGUGUUGGGAUAAGCAAUAUGUUGCAAUGCUCCAGCAACAUACAAUAGCAAUGUAUGUAAUUAUUUUUAAAAAUUUUUUGGCAUGCAUCUCUAAUCCAUUUUUUUUUUAUCUUCAGGGCCCAGCAGGAAAGUGGAGAUGGAAUAGCUGUUGCUCAGCUUAUGCAGAUCGAAAACUGAAGACGAUGGAGAGGAAGAACGGCAUCCUCCAUCGAUGGUCCCCCACCAGCAGUCUCUUCCAGACUGCACUCCACAGACUGCAGAGUAACAGAUUGAAGACCAAUUUGGAAGGAACAUUCAGUCUGGUGCUAGAACGGAGGUUACUCUGUGGCCUGAAGAGAAAAUAUGCAGGAAAUAUAUAUUCAACAAUAGGAACAAGUCAACUCAUAUCAGUUCUAUGAUAUUUCUGGGUGGGCAAACACAAUAAAUCAAAAAUGUGUUGCUGUUUUUGAACUUGUUUCUGAUGCUUAUGGUCUAUUGUUGGAUGGUAAUAAAGUGUAUAGCAGCUGUUGUCAUUUUUGAAUGUUUUUGUUUAGAUUGGAUUACCUUUAACAUAUUUUUUGUCUGUCUUAUCUGUUAUCAAUAGAUGGUCAAGGUAUUGCCAACCGCCUGUCCAAAAAGCUUGCCACGCUCUCACAAGUCCUGGUGUAUGAGGAUGCAGUGCAGGUGGACAGCACUGUUUGGUCCUGGAGAGCAGGAAGAGCUGAGGAUGAUGGGGAGUUUCACUUCAAGCAAAGGCUCUCUGUGCUCCAUUCCCUCAGAACGGGCGUGUGAAGAUAACUGGUACAUUGAGGAUGAAGCCAUCACUGCCAAGAAGUUCUACUCACAUGAGCAGGAACUGAUCGUGGAGGCCUUACAACAUUACACAGAGCAAGAUGGAUUUAGUCUUGGGGCAAGAGCUGUCCUUGCUGGAAUGCUUGCUGAGCAUCAGCAUGCAGAAGGACAAAGUGAAUUGUUCAGAAGUGCUUUUUUGAGGGCAGCGGUAUAAACAUUGAAGUGGAGGACAUUGAGGAAGUGGAUGAGGAUGAUGACUAUGAUGGGGUUUACGACAACGAUGGUGAUAUUGAUGGAGGAAAAAAUGUAUGAGGCUGAAUGUGUCUAAUUGUUGUUUGUUUCUUGUCCAUUCUGUUUUAAUGUAUGUAAUUCAGUGGUGUACAGUAUUUAAGUAAAAAAGGGGGGUAAAAUAAUAAACAUACAACAAAAAUGUUUUGUUAUUUUUGGGUUAAAGGAAGCACUCUGGCCAUUUCUGUUUAAUUGUUAGAUGUGAUAUAUAGGCCAUUCUUUCAUGUAAUUUACCAUUUAUGUCAUGGUGAGGGGAACCUGACGUGAACCUGGUAUACCCCAACCUGAGUCUAAUGGAAUAGACAGGUUUGCUUCCUCCAAAGUAUUGUAUUUUCAUUGACCUGUUAGUUGUGGAGUUUGUAAACAUCAAUUUAGAUAAUUUUGUAAAUAUUGUAAUUCGAACAUCUAAAUCACCGUUGUCAUUUUUUAAAUAAAUAACUUCUGC